UCGAGCGAACAGAUAAGGAGCUUGCUCCUUUGACGUUAGCGGCGGACGGGUGAGUAACACGUGGGUAACCUACCUAUAAGACUGGAAUAACUCCGGGAAACCGGGGCUAAUGCCGGAUAACAUUUAGAACCGCAUGGUUCUAAAGUGAAAGAUGGUUUUGCUAUCACUUAUAGAUGGACCCGCGCCGUAUUAGCUAGUUGGUAAGGUAACGGCUUACCAAGGCAACGAUACGUAGCCGACCUGAGAGGGUGAUCGGCCACACUGGAACUGAGACACGGUCCAGACUCCUACGGGAGGCAGCAGUAGGGAAUCUUCCGCAAUGGGCGAAAGCCUGACGGAGCAACGCCGCGUGAGUGAUGAAGGUCUUCGGAUCGUAAAACUCUGUUAUUAGGGAAGAACAAAUGUGUAAGUAACUAUGCACGUCUUGACGGUACCUAAUCAGAAAGCCACGGCUAACUACGUGCCAGCAGCCGCGGUAAUACGUAGGUGGCAAGCGUUAUCCGGAAUUAUUGGGCGUAAAGCGCGCGUAGGCGGUUUCUUAAGUCUGAUGUGAAAGCCCACGGCUCAACCGUGGAGGGUCAUUGGAAACUGGGAAACUUGAGUGCAGAAGAGGAAAGUGGAAUUCCAUGUGUAGCGGUGAAAUGCGCAGAGAUAUGGAGGAACACCAGUGGCGAAGGCGACUUUCUGGUCUGUAACUGACGCUGAUGUGCGAAAGCGUGGGGAUCAAACAGGAUUAGAUACCCUGGUAGUCCACGCCGUAAACGAUGAGUGCUAAGUGUUAGGGGGUUUCCGCCCCUUAGUGCUGCAGCUAACGCAUUAAGCACUCCGCCUGGGGAGUACGACCGCAAGGUUGAAACUCAAAGGAAUUGACGGGGACCCGCACAAGCGGUGGAGCAUGGUGUUUUAAUUCGAAGCAACGCGAAGAACCUUACAAUCUCGGGACAUCCUUUGACCACUCUAGAGAUAGAGCCUUCCCCUUCGGGGGACAAAGUGACAGGUGGUGCAUGGUUGUCGUCAGCUCGUGUCGUGAGAUGUUGGGGUUAAGUCCCGCAACGAGCGCAACCCUUAAACUUAGUUGCCAGCAUUCAGUUGGGCACUCUAAGUUGACUGCCGGUGACAAACCGGAGGAAGGUGGGGAUGACGUCAAAUCAUCAUGCCCCUUAUGAUUUGGGCUACACACGUGCUACAAUGGACAAUACAAAGGGCAGCUAAACCGCGAGGUCAUGCAAUCCCAUAAAGUUGUUCUCAGUUCGGAUUGUAGUCUGCAACUCGACUACAUGAAGCUGAAUCGCUAGUAAAUCGAAGAUCAGCAUGCUACGGUGAAUACGUUCCCGGGUCUGGUA
RNAcentral lists this ribosomal RNA (1343 nucleotides) under Staphylococcus sp. JL14. RNAcentral describes it as "bacterial SSU rRNA". It matches the Rfam family "Bacterial small subunit ribosomal RNA", at positions 62 to 1385 of the family's 1533-position model. Lineage: Bacteria; Bacillati; Bacillota; Bacilli; Caryophanales; Staphylococcaceae. The record is from RNAcentral.